This 71-nucleotide transfer RNA is filed under the name Neocallimastix californiae. It matches the Rfam family "tRNA". Rfam says of the family: Transfer RNA (tRNA) molecules are approximately 80 nucleotides in length. Their secondary structure includes four short double-helical elements and three loops (D, anti-codon, and T loops). The record is from Rfam by way of RNAcentral. Lineage: Eukaryota; Fungi; Neocallimastigomycota; Neocallimastigomycetes; Neocallimastigales; Neocallimastigaceae.
AGGGUGUUAGCUCAGCGGUAGAGCAAUUGACUGCAGAUCAAUAGUCUUCGGUUCAAAUCCGGAACCCCCUC